Marmota flaviventris (yellow-bellied marmot) is the source of this 471-nucleotide non-coding RNA. NCBI's taxonomy places the organism in Eukaryota, Metazoa, Chordata, Mammalia, Rodentia, Sciuridae. The record is from RefSeq and is a predicted model, not a curated record.
AUCAAACCCAGUGCCUCACAUGUGCAAGGCAAGUGCUCUACCACUGAGCUACAACCGCAGCUCUGUCAAUUUUAUAUUGGAAGGAAAAACCCUGUAAACAAACGUUGACCGCGAGCUAACACUAAGCAUGCGAGCUCCUCCUGCCCCACAGCCCCAGCCCUUGACCGCUGGCCUCCACUGGACUGGGCGUCGUGUGCCAGCUGGCACUCAAUUAAACAAGGAGGAAGCUGGCUGACCUGGGCACCAGGCUCUGUGCAGAAGGGAAGCCGAGCUUCUAGGGGCCCCCACAUUCCUGGCUCCUGGUUCCGUCCUCUACCUUACAGUCAGCAGCACAAGAGCUCCAUGACUCUCUGAAUCUGUCUUCAUUGUCAUGUCUCCUCUGAAGUGGACCUUGCUGCCACCCUCCAGAGAUGCUGCGAUGACCCUGGGCCGCCUGGCUAUUCUUGGGUAAGCCCCCUCAGACCCCCCUCU